This is a long non-coding RNA of Equus caballus (horse), 1763 nucleotides long. RefSeq lists it as uncharacterized. The record is from RefSeq and is a predicted model, not a curated record. NCBI's taxonomy places the organism in Eukaryota, Metazoa, Chordata, Mammalia, Perissodactyla, Equidae.
AGGAGGUAAGAGAAAGGCAAGCACAUCCCUCGCCCACCCCGCGCCCAGCCUUUUUCCUGGGCGACGCGCCUCUGCCCUGGCCAGGCUGCCUGGAUUCCCCGGGUCUUUCUGACUACUUCCAUCCUGCCCCGUGCCCAGAUGCUGGAAUCUAAUACUGAAGCCAGAACCCAUCCCUCCGGCCAAAUCAAUGGUCAGCAGCCCCAAAGGCGAACGUUCUUGGGCGCGGCUGGGAGGAGCAGCUUUUCGCGCAGAACGCGCGCUCCUGGCUGCCGGGAGUCUGGGACACCGCGGGGCGCGGACGCCGUGCGGCAAAGCGAGCUUCCACUCUCCGGCUGACCCGCCGGGACUCGGGGGCUGCGGCAGGGAACCCGGGCAGCACCGACCGAUUAGCAAUCAAGGAUUAAGGAAAAAGCCAGGGUUACUCCAGCCUGGGACGGGCAGGGCUGUUCUCCUAGUCCUGCCUGCCUGCUUGCUUUCUCUCCCUCUCUCCUUGCAUCCGUUUCAUCUCUUCUUCCCCUUCCCUUUCAACCUCAUUCUUGUUCUUCCUUCUCUCAAAUCGCUUUUCCUCAACCGUACCUGGCCAGCACUCCUCCUCCCCUAGACAGUCUGAGCCCCAAAAUGCAGUUGGAAAACGUAUCACUUGAGAGAAAGCUCUUCAGGGGAAAGAAUUCGAAUUGAGGUGAGGAGAGUGGAAGAGAGAGUGGGAGACCCCGUCCGGACAGUCCAGAACGAGCUGUAACAAAGCAAAGUCCACGGGAGCUUCAUGCUCAGCCCCCAGGCAGGCUCCGGGAGCCGAAGUUCUCCUAACUCAAGCUAAGAAUAGGGAGAAGUCAAACUCGGGCCCUGCCCUGCGCCCCUCCCGCGGGCGGGGCUGGGGAGGGGAGGUUUCCCAGCCCGCUGAAGCGCGCUGGCUCCUCCCGGGCCCCUGGGCUGCCUCGGGCUGGGGGAGGGGCGCCGAGCCGCCGCGGAGCUGCCAGGGCCAGGGACCCGCGGCCGGACCCCGGCUGGUGGCGGCGCACUGGGGGCGCGUGGGGAGAUGGUCGUAGCUGGAACUGAGGAACCGCAGGAGGGCGACCACGAGGAGGUGUCCGGGGAAGGGAAGCCCCGGCCUCAGCUCAGCCCGGGCGGCCAGAACCUACCUGAUCCCGGGGAACCGGAGUCCAGCGGCGGCAGGAGAGGUUUUGCUGCCAAGUAGGACGGCGGGCAAAGGGCUUCUCCAAGUUUCUUCGCCGGAGUCACAACCCAAAAGGCAUCACCGUCUGGCGUUAGCGUCUGAGGAGAAGCCGCAGGAACGAGCAGGAGCAGCAGGAGGAGCUGGAGGACUUGUUUGCCGAGGCCGAUAUUCUGUUCAAAAGUUUGUCGACGCACAGAAGUAGGAGGCAGCGUGACACCGAGAGAAAGGGUCACGUAAUGAUCGGGUAUCAGAAAAAGACGUCAGCAUCCUAGUCCCUCAAGGAACAUAUUAACUAUUCUGUGCUGUCCUCUUGGAUGAUAAGAUCCGGAGUCAUCGACUUCUCAUAAACACCUUUCACUCAUACAAUCCAGUUUUUAAGAAGUCCAAUUAUUUUGAUGGUUUUCAGUUUUACCCAUUUCUCAAGCAUGGGUAUAGAACUCAUAGAAUUUGGAGGAUGGUAAAAGUCAUGUUUUUAACUAUGUCCCUACUAUUUCUCUUUGCUUUUCAUCAAGCCCCAGCAAUCUGAGCUCUGGUCUCUGGAAUUAAGCACCAAGCUCUCCUAUUAAUAAAUUUAAUUUAGAUCUCCUAA